Molecule: ribosomal RNA, 301 nt
Filed under: uncultured bacterium
Lineage: Bacteria
Description: partial 16S ribosomal RNA
Rfam family: Bacterial small subunit ribosomal RNA
Source: RNAcentral
CAGCCGCCACGGGAACACGUAGGGUGCAAGCGUUAAUCGGAAUUACUGGGCGUAAAGCGUGCGCAGGCGGUUCGUUAAGACAGAUGUGAAAUCCCCGGGCUUAACCUGGGAACUGCAUUUGUGACUGGCGAGCUAGAGUAUGGCAGAGGGGGGUAGAAUUCCACGUGUAGCAGUGAAAUGCGUAGAGAUGUGGAGGAAUACCGAUGGCGAAGGCAGCCCCCUGGGCCAAUACUGACGCUCAUGCACGAAAGCGUGGGGAGCAAACAGGAUUAGAUACCCGCGUAGUCCCUGUCUCUUAUAC